UAGCUUGCUAUCUGCUGACGAGCGGCGGACGGGUGAGUAAUGCUUGGGAAUAUGCCUUUUGGUGGGGGACAACAGUUGGAAACGACUGCUAAUACCGCAUAACGUCUACGGACCAAAGUGGGGGACCUUCGGGCCUCACGCCAAGAGAUUAGCCCAAGUGGGAUUAGCUAGUUGGUGAGGUAAUGGCUCACCAAGGCAACGAUCCCUAGCUGGUUUGAGAGGAUGAUCAGCCACACUGGAACUGAGACACGGUCCAGACUCCUACGGGAGGCAGCAGUGGGGAAUAUUGCACAAUGGGCGCAAGCCUGAUGCAGCCAUGCCGCGUGUGUGAAGAAGGCCUUCGGGUUGUAAAGCACUUUCAGUCAGGAGGAAAGGUUAGUAGUUAAUAGCUACUAGCUGUGACGUUACUGACAGAAGAAGCACCGGCUAACUCCGUGCCAGCAGCCGCGGUAAUACGGAGGGUGCGAGCGUUAAUCGGAAUUACUGGGCGUAAAGCGUACGCAGGCGGUUUGUUAAGCGAGAUGUGAAAGCCCCGGGCUCAACCUGGGAACUGCAUUUCGAACUGGCAGACUAGAGUGUGAUAGAGGGUGGUAGAAUUUCAGGUGUAGCGGUGAAAUGCGUAGAGAUCUGAAGGAAUACCGAUGGCGAAGGCAGCCACCUGGGUCAACACUGACGCUCAUGUACGAAAGCGUGGGGAGCAAACGGGAUUAGAUACCCCGGUAGUCCACGCCGU
This 733-nucleotide ribosomal RNA is filed under the name Pseudoalteromonas sp. Pa84. RNAcentral describes it as "bacterial SSU rRNA". It matches the Rfam family "Bacterial small subunit ribosomal RNA", at positions 76 to 803 of the family's 1533-position model. Lineage: Bacteria; Pseudomonadati; Pseudomonadota; Gammaproteobacteria; Alteromonadales; Pseudoalteromonadaceae. The record is from RNAcentral.